AGAAUCAACGCUGGCGGCGUGCCUAACACAUGCAAGUCGCACGAGAAAGGGGAGCAAUCCCUGAGUAAAGUGGCGCACGGGUGAGUAACACGUGAAUAAUCUACCUCCGAGUGGGGAAUAACUGAGAGAAAUCUUAGCUAAUACCGCAUAACACUUACGAGUCAAAGCAGCAAUGCGCUUGGAGAGGAGUUCGCGGCCGAUUAGUUAGUUGGCGGGGUAAUGGCCCACCAAGACGAUGAUCGGUAUCCGGCCUGAGAGGGCGCACGGACACACUGGAACUGAAACACGGUCCAGACUCCUACGGAGGCAGCAGUGGGGAAUUUUGCGCAAUGGGGAAACCCUGACGCAGCAACGCCGCGUGGAGGAUGAAGCCCCUUGGGGUGUAAACUCCUUUCGAUCGGGAAGAUAAUGACGGUACCGAUAUAAGAAGCCCCGGCUAACUUCGUGCCAGCAGCCGC
Molecule: ribosomal RNA, 458 nt
Filed under: uncultured bacterium
Lineage: Bacteria
Description: SSU rRNA
Rfam family: Bacterial small subunit ribosomal RNA
Source: RNAcentral